RNAcentral lists this ribosomal RNA (254 nucleotides) under uncultured bacterium. RNAcentral describes it as "partial 16S ribosomal RNA". It matches the Rfam family "Bacterial small subunit ribosomal RNA", at positions 524 to 776 of the family's 1533-position model. The record is from RNAcentral.
UACGGGGGGAGCAAGCGUUGUUCGGAUUUACUGGGCGUAAAGGGCGCGUAGGCGGUCAGCACAAGUCAGUUGUGAAAUCUCCGGGCUUAACUCGGAAAGGUCAACUGAUACUGUGCGACUAGAGUGCGGAAGGGGCAACUGGAAUUCUCGGUGUAGCGGUGAAAUGCGUAGAUAUCGAGAGGAACACCUGUGGCGAAGGCGGGUUGCUGGGCCGCCACUGACGCUGAUGCGCGAAAGCCAGGGGAGCGAACGGG